CCACCUGCACAGGCCGUUUCUCAAGUAGUACUAGAUCUCUUCAAGCGCGAGAGUCAUCCACACACAUGUACAUUCACAGACACUUCUACUUGAGUCUACGCAUUAUGUGUGAUGCUUAGCUUAUCUAGGGCCAGUCCUGGCAGAUACAGAGGCAAAGCAACGCUCUGCCCUUGCUUGGACAUAGUCUGUCAUAGAGCGCUAUUAAUUUUGCAGCCAGGACCCUAGGCUAUGGCCACCAGCAUUCCCUUCCCAUGCAGUGCAUACUCUAGUGGCGUUUAGGUGUAGUCUACUGUAGUUGCCUCGUUGCUCCAGUUUCACCACCACAGUUGCGGCUGCAGCCACCUCUAAUCAUGCAGCGUUCUGUUUUCGAGUUUUCUAUUCUCUGUGGUCACUUCCGAGUCUUGACCGACACUACACAAUGUAUCAUGUAGAUCUACAAGUCGAUGCUGAUUGGCCGUCGGAUGGCAACAAGCAGGUGGCUAAGGAUUUCCGGACGAGACAGCAAGGUCGGCCCAAGAUCAGUGACCCUUUAAUCAAAAAAGGCGUCCUGCUGCCGCGACCAGAAACCCUACUGGGCCCUAGCCCGUAUGUCCAGGCGUGCUUCUGGCUGACGCUUAGCCGAGGCGGCAGAGAUGUCCUCACCGUGUAUGGGGAGCAAACCUGGCUCAAUCUCCACAUCGGGCAGUACCUCCUGCAGUACGCCGGCCAGGAGGUCCCGAAGCUCGUUGUGGCGACCUAUUACUAGUUACUACUAACGUUAGUAUCCCUCGACAAAAGAAGCAAAUUACUUGCCUCAAAGUGCCGCUACGAAAAUAGAUACCGGUGCGAGUCGUACCUUCGCAAUUAUUUACUUCGAACAUCCAACAAGCAUCCCGUGAUCAAGUGGCAGGCAACAAGCUGCUACUACCGUAGUAUGCUUAUCACUUGAAAAGUUGAAGUAUCAAUCA
Sycon ciliatum is the source of this 947-nucleotide long non-coding RNA. RefSeq lists it as uncharacterized. The transcript is spliced from 3 exons. NCBI's taxonomy places the organism in Eukaryota, Metazoa, Porifera, Calcarea, Leucosolenida, Sycettidae. The record is from RefSeq and is a predicted model, not a curated record.